RNAcentral lists this ribosomal RNA (1346 nucleotides) under uncultured bacterium. Its description in RNAcentral is "bacterial SSU rRNA". It matches the Rfam family "Bacterial small subunit ribosomal RNA", at positions 28 to 1381 of the family's 1533-position model. The record is from RNAcentral.
GACGAACGCUGUCGGCGUGCUUAACACAUGCAAGUCGAACGGAAAGGCCCUGCUUUUGUGGGGUGCUCGAGUGGCGAACGGGUGAGUAACACGUGAGUAACCUGCCCUUGACUUUGGGAUAACUUCAGGAAACUGGGGCUAAUACCGGAUAGGAGCUCCUGCUGCAUGGUGGGGGUUGGAAAGUUUCGGCGGUUGGGGAUGGACUCGCGGCUUAUCAGCUUGUUGGUGGGGUAGUGGCUUACCAAGGCUUUGACGGGUAGCCGGCCUGAGAGGGCGACCGGCCACAUUGGGACUGAGAUACGGCCCAGACUCCUACGGGAGGCAGCAGUGGGGAAUAUUGCACAAUGGGCGGAAGCCUGAUGCAGCAACGCCGCGUGCGGGAUGACGGCCUUCGGGUUGUAAACCGCUUUCGCCUGUGACGAAGCGUGAGUGACGGUAAUGGGUAAAGAAGCACCGGCUAACUACGUGCCAGCAGCCGCGGUGAUACGUAGGGUGCGAGCGUUGUCCGGAUUUAUUGGGCGUAAAGGGCUCGUAGGUGGUUGAUCGCGUCGGAAGUGUAAUCUUGGGGCUUAACCCUGAGCGUGCUUUCGAUACGGGUUGACUUGAGGAAGGUAGGGGAGAAUGGAAUUCCUGGUGGAGCGGUGGAAUGCGCAGAUAUCAGGAGGAACACCAGUGGCGAAGGCGGUUCUCUGGGCCUUUCCUGACGCUGAGGAGCGAAAGCGUGGGGAGCGAACAGGCUUAGAUACCCUGGUAGUCCACGCUGUAAACGGUGGGUACUAGGUGUGGGGUCCAUUCCACGGGUUCCGUGCCGUAGCUAACGCUUUAAGUACCCCGCCUGGGGAGUACGGCCGCAAGGCUAAAACUCAAAGGAAUUGACGGGGCCCCGCACAAGCGGCGGAGCAUGCGGAUUAAUUCGAUGCAACGCGUAGAACCUUACCUGGGUUUGACAUGGAUCGGGAGCGCUCAGAGAUGGGUGUGCCUCUUUUGGGGUCGGUUCACAGGUGGUGCAUGGCUGUCGUCAGCUCGUGUCGUGAGAUGUUGGGUUAAGUCCCGCAACGAGCGCAACCCUUGUUCACUGUUGCCAGCACGUUAUGGUGGGGACUCAGUGGAGACCGCCGGGGUCAACUCGGAGGAAGGUGGGGAUGACGUCAAGUCAUCAUGCCCCUUAUGUCCAGGGCUUCACGCAUGCUACAAUGGCUGGUACAGAGAGUGGCGAGCCUGUGAGGGUGAGCGAAUCUCGGAAAGCCGGUCUCAGUUCGGAUUGGGGUCUGCAACUCGACCUCAUGAAGUCGGAGUCGCUAGUAAUCGCAGAUCAGCAACGCUGCGGUGAAUACGUUCCCGGGGCU